UACAGAGGUCUCAAGCGUUGUUCGGAUUCAUUGGGCGUAAAGGGUGCGUAGGCGGCGCGGUAAGUCGGGUGUGAAAUCUCGGGGCUUAACUCCGAAACUGCAUUCGAUACUGGCGUGCUUGAGGACUGGAGAGGAGACUGGAAUUUACGGUGUAGCAGUGAAAUGCGUAGAUAUCGUAAGGAAGACCAGUGGCGAAGGCGGGUCUCUGGACAGUUCCUGACGCUGAGACACGAAGGCCAGGGGAGCAAACGGG
This 253-nucleotide ribosomal RNA is filed under the name uncultured bacterium. RNAcentral's name for it is "partial 16S ribosomal RNA". It matches the Rfam family "Bacterial small subunit ribosomal RNA", at positions 524 to 776 of the family's 1533-position model. The record is from RNAcentral.